UUGAACGCUGGCGGAAUGCUUUACACAUGCAAGUCGAGCGGCAGCGCGGGGCAACCUGGCGGCGAGCGGCGAACGGGUGAGUAACAUAUCGGAACGUACCUAUUUGAGGGGGAUAACGCAGCGAAAGUUGUGCUAAUACCGCAUAAGACCUGAGGGUGAAAGUGGGGGACCGCAAGGCCUCCCGCGAAUAGAGCGGCCGAUAUCUGAUUAGCUAGUUGGUAGGGUAAAGGCCUACCAAGGCGACGAUCAGUAGCUGGUCUGAGAGGACGACCAGCCACACUGGGACUGAGACACGGCCCAGACUCCUACGGGAGGCAGCAGUGGGGAAUUUUGGACAAUGGGGGCAACCCUGAUCCAGCCAUGCCGCGUGAGUGAAGAAGGCCUUCGGGUUGUAAAGCUCGUUCGGCAGGAACGAAAAGGUUAGGGUGAAUAAUCCGAAUGGAUGACGGUACCUGAAGAAGAAGCACCGGCUAACUACGU
Molecule: ribosomal RNA, 480 nt
Filed under: uncultured bacterium
Lineage: Bacteria
Description: bacterial SSU rRNA
Rfam family: Bacterial small subunit ribosomal RNA
Source: RNAcentral